GGGCUCAUAGCUCAGCUGGAUAGAGCGUCGGUCUACGGAACCGAAGGUCAGGGGUUCGAAUCCCUUUGAGCCCG
This 74-nucleotide transfer RNA is filed under the name Epidermidibacterium keratini. It matches the Rfam family "tRNA". Rfam says of the family: Transfer RNA (tRNA) molecules are approximately 80 nucleotides in length. Their secondary structure includes four short double-helical elements and three loops (D, anti-codon, and T loops). RNAcentral also lists the same sequence under 2 other names. Lineage: Bacteria; Bacillati; Actinomycetota; Actinomycetes; Sporichthyales; Sporichthyaceae. The record is from Rfam by way of RNAcentral.